RNAcentral lists this ribosomal RNA (505 nucleotides) under uncultured bacterium. RNAcentral's name for it is "bacterial SSU rRNA". It matches the Rfam family "Bacterial small subunit ribosomal RNA", at positions 791 to 1291 of the family's 1533-position model. The record is from RNAcentral.
UAGUCCACGCCGUAAACGAUGAGAACUAGAUUUUGGUGGUAUUGACCCCUUCAGAAUCGCAGCUAACGCAUUAAGUUCUCCGCCUGGGGAGUACGGCCGCAAGACUAAAACUCAAAGGAAUUGACGGGGGCCCGCACAAGCGGUGGAUUAUGUGGUUUAAUUCGAAGCAACGCGCAAAACCUUACCUAGGCUUGAACUCCUGAGAAGUCGGAGUAAUGUCUGAUGUGUCCUUCGGGAAACUCAGUGAGAGGUGCUGCAUGGCUGUCGUCAGCUCGUGUUGUGAAAUGUUGGGUUAAGUCUCGCAACGAGCGCAACCCCUAUCUUUAGUUGCCAGCAUUCAGUUGGGCACUCUAGAGAGACUGCCUGGGUUAACCAGGAGGAAGGUGGGGAUGACGUCAAGUCCUCAUGGCCCUUAUGUCUAGGGCUACACACGUAAUACAAUGGUGCAUACAAUGGGAAGCGAAACUCGCGAGGGGGAGCGAAAUCUCAAAAAGUGACAUCUCAC